Molecule: long non-coding RNA, 1027 nt
Filed under: Cavia porcellus (domestic guinea pig)
Lineage: Eukaryota; Metazoa; Chordata; Mammalia; Rodentia; Caviidae
Description: lncRNA (ENSCPOG00000032211.1)
Source: RNAcentral
UUCAGGAGCUAGUGCGGCGGCGCGGCCUCUGCGUGCCCUCUGACCUGCUGGCAGUGGGCGGAGGGGGAGUCGGGCGCCGCCAUAUUGGCUGUUGUCCUGUGUGGGGAGCGGCGGCAGUGGCGGCGCGAGUGGAGCGAGGGAGCGGCGCGAGUGGCAGCAUGACUCGGAGGCGGAGCAGGCCGAGCGGCGGCGCGGGCCGGCGCGAACGGGCACGGGCUGCGGGGCUGCAGAAGCCCCAGGCGCCCGAGCCCCCGCCGCCGCCAACCUUGGAAGCGGGACCGGGUGCAGGGCCCCAGGAGGCUCCGGCGGAGUCCGAUCGCGACGGCCCCAAAGAAGAGGAUGAACCCAAGCUGGUGCCUGGCCCGCAGGGCAGAAGAGGAAAGAAACUAACGGGUAUUGAGCACCUACUGUGUGCCAGGCCCAGGCCAGGUCCCCUUCACCUCCAGCCAGUCUGUACAGACUUGCUGCCUGCUAUGUCACCGGGAACGCAAAGGCUGGGAAGAAGGCCCUUCACAAAACGGACUGGUGUUACAGGGUGAAAAGCUACCCCCUGACUUCAUGCCAAAGCUCGUCAAGAAUCUCCUAGGCGAGAUGCCUCUAUGGGUCUGCCAGAGUUGCCGAAAGAGCAUGGAGGAAGAUGAAAGGCAGACAGGUCGAGAACAUGCAGUGGCGGUACGUAACCACUGACAGGGGGCCUCAGGGUGGCCACAUCCCCAGGAAAGGUAGGCUGUUCCUUCCCUGUCUUUUCAAGGACUUUCCUUGGGAACCUCCCAUGCUCAGAUGCUAAAAGAAUUGUGGGCUACAUUGACACCUUGGGAGCUCAGAUUCAGAUUCGGGGGAGAGAGAAACAGUCUUCAGGCAACCCUCUGGCCUCAGCAUAGUUCAUACAGAAGGUGAAGACCUCAUAGAUUACGGUAGAUCAUGAUCCUAUUCCCUCAGGUGACCCUGAUACCUUCUAAUUCCUUGACACUUUGAAAGGUAAACCUUUAUGACACAAAAGGCAGAGGUCAGUUUGAGAGUCUGAAGU